RNAcentral lists this non-coding RNA (24 nucleotides) under Arabidopsis thaliana (thale cress). The record is from RNAcentral. Lineage: Eukaryota; Viridiplantae; Streptophyta; Magnoliopsida; Brassicales; Brassicaceae.
ACGCAAACUAUCUUCCUGACGAGA